UUACGUAAAGUUAAAGUUUAAAGAUUAUGUAUACUGUGUUUUGUAUUAAAGUGGAAAUUAGUUUUAUAAGUACAAGGUUAUUAACAAGGAUAAGGAGAAAAACUCGCUGGUCAUCUCUUCAUAAGACGGAAGCCUAAUUUUAGUCCUCUUUCCCUUCCCACUUUUAUAAGAAAUAGAUGUGAAGGGAAAGGGGAUUUGACGGAUGACGGACGCAAAGGAAGGAGAAAUAUUCACUUUCAUUAAAGAUUGGCGCUCGGCGGCUGCGGUCGGCCGGUAGAUUGAAACUAAUUUUCUCUCCGUCACGACGAAAGCCGGCGCACCGCCAUUGUACUGAUACUCUGUCAGAUUUUGAAAUGGACAAAAUAUACAACGAGGAAAGAAAACCGCUUUGUCGAGUAUGUUGUUAAAUGGA
Long non-coding RNA from Papilio xuthus (Asian swallowtail), 412 nucleotides. RefSeq lists it as uncharacterized. The record is from RefSeq and is a predicted model, not a curated record. The transcript has 3 exons. NCBI's taxonomy places the organism in Eukaryota, Metazoa, Arthropoda, Insecta, Lepidoptera, Papilionidae.